AUCUGUAACAUAAGGAUAAUCAUAGUGCCCACAAUUAUUGGGAGGAUUUGUCGAGUUAAUCCUUGUUAUGCACCUAGUCUAGUGCCAAGUUAGCAUUAUUACUAUUGUCAUUAUUUUUAAUAAUCCACAUGAGUUUAUAACUUCAGAGUGUUGGAAUCAUAACCAGUUCACACAACACUUUUGUACAAGUUAUAAAAGGCAUUUUUCCUCAGGACAAUUUAUUAUUUGUCUUUCAAAGUAAUUAUAAUAAUAUAAUGAUUUUGUCAGAAUAAGACAAUUUUCUAUCAAAUUCCAGAAAAUUAUUGAAAUAAAUAUACAAAUCCAUAAUAUCUCCAAUGUUAACACCUCCCUUUAAGGUUGGAAUGUGCACAGUCUUGUGGUAUGUGGCAGUCUUGUGUGAUGAUAUAUGACCUUGCAGAGUGCAUUAAAAUCAUUCUUCUUUCCAACAAGAAAAAAAUAAAGGAAAUUAUUGAUCUAGA
This 479-nucleotide non-coding RNA is filed under the name Pongo abelii (Sumatran orangutan). The record is from RNAcentral. Lineage: Eukaryota; Metazoa; Chordata; Mammalia; Primates; Hominidae.